This 90-nucleotide small RNA is filed under the name Flavobacterium terrae. RNAcentral's name for it is "Flavo-1 RNA". It matches the Rfam family "Flavo-1 RNA". The record is from Rfam by way of RNAcentral. Lineage: Bacteria; Pseudomonadati; Bacteroidota; Flavobacteriia; Flavobacteriales; Flavobacteriaceae.
UAAUAGCCCUGAUAGAAGCGACAUCCUUUUUGAACACUGAGCGAAGUCGAAGUGUAUUACAAAAAGAUAAAGCGGAUAGCAGGAAAUAGC